RNAcentral lists this ribosomal RNA (1317 nucleotides) under Hemigrapsus sanguineus. Its description in RNAcentral is "16S ribosomal RNA". The stretch from base 610 to 1317 matches the Rfam family "Archaeal large subunit ribosomal RNA", at positions 1423 to 2792 of the family's 2987-position model. The record is from RNAcentral. Lineage: Eukaryota; Metazoa; Arthropoda; Malacostraca; Decapoda; Varunidae.
ACAUAAUAUAAAUAACUUGUUAAACAGAUUUAGAUUUUAAUAUAUAGGAAAAAUAAUUUAAUAAAUAAUAUUGUUAGUAAUUUUGAAUAAACCCGGUUAUAGACUAUAGUUUAAAGUACUGUAAAGGAAAGUUGGUAAGAUUUAGGACAGUAAAUUUAAAAUCUUGUACCUUGUGUAUCAGGGAGAAUUUAUAUAAAUUAAAAAAGUUAAGAGUCUCGAAAUAAAAUAUAGCUAAUUUUAUAAAAAAUUUUUUGUAAAAAAUAGAUUUUAAAUAUAAAAUUAAAGGUGAAAUGCUAAUCGAGUUUUAUAAUAUCUAGUUUUUUAAAAAUAAAUUUAAUUUAACUUUUAUAAUUUACGAAAUAUAAGAUUAAAGUGCAGGAGGGAUUAGCUUCUUGUAAACAAAAAUGUUAAAGAGUUAAAAAUAAAAUUAAUUGGUGAAUUAAGCUUAAAAGUAGCUAUAUUGAUAAAGUGUUCUAGCUAAAUUAAAAUGAAAUAAUAUUUAUAAAAACUUUUUUAAGUAUUAAAAAACUAACUUGAUCAUUAGAGGUUAGGCUAUAAUGAUUUUAUUAGUAAAAAUUUAUUAUAAAAUAAAAUAGUAAAAUAAUAAAAACUUUAAAAAGUUGUUAAGACAAUAUAGAGGAACUCGGCAAAUAAUUUUCUUUGCCUGUUUAUCAAAAACAUGUCUAUUUGGAGAUAUAAAAAGUUUAACCUGCCCACUGAUAAAAAUAUUUAAAUGGCCGCGGUAUCUUGACCGUGCAAAGGUAGCAUAAUCGUUAGUUUUUUAAUUGGAAUCUUGUAUGAAUGGUUGGACAAAAGAAAAUCUGUCUUUAGGUUGUUUCUUGAAAUUAACUUUUAAGUGAAAAGGCUUAAAUAAAUUAAAGGGACGAUAAGACCCUAUAAAGCUUAAUAUUAGAAUUUUACUUAGUUAAAUUUUUUAUUAUAAAAACUUAGUGAUUAAGUUUAUUUUAUUGGGGCGAUAAGAGUAAAAUGAUUAUUAACUGCUUAAUUUUUAAUACAUUUAUAAAUGAUUGAAUUUUUAAAUGAUCCUAGUGUGAAGAUUAAAAGUUUAAGUUACUUUAGGGAUAACAGCGUUAUUUUUCUUAAGAGUACAUAUCGAAAGAAAAGUUUGCGACCUCGAUGUUGAAUUAAAAUAUCUUUAUAAUUGCAGCAGUUAUAUAAGUAGGUCUGUUCGACCUUUAAAAUUUUACAUGAUUUGAGUUCAAACCGGCGUGAGCCAGGUUGGUUUCUAUCUUUUGAAAAAAAAAAAUUAUUUUAGUACGAAAGGAUUAAAUAGUUGAAAUUGUUUUUAUUAUGUUU